GCGUUGUCCGGAUUUAUUGGGCGUAAAGAGCGUGUAGGCGGCUAGGUAGGUCCGUUGUGAAUACUCGAGGCUCAACCUCGGACCGGCGAUGGAAACCAUCUGGCUAGAGUCCGGAAGAGGAGAGUGGAAUUCCUGGUGUAGCGGUGAAAUGCGCAGAUAUCAGGAAGAACACCCGUGGCGCAGGCGGCUCUCUGGUACGUGACUGACGCUGAGACGCGAAAGCGUG
This 226-nucleotide ribosomal RNA is filed under the name uncultured bacterium. RNAcentral's name for it is "partial 16S ribosomal RNA". It matches the Rfam family "Bacterial small subunit ribosomal RNA", at positions 538 to 763 of the family's 1533-position model. The record is from RNAcentral.